RNAcentral lists this ribosomal RNA (1080 nucleotides) under Bacillus aerius. Its description in RNAcentral is "bacterial SSU rRNA". It matches the Rfam family "Bacterial small subunit ribosomal RNA", at positions 22 to 1054 of the family's 1533-position model. Lineage: Bacteria; Bacillati; Bacillota; Bacilli; Caryophanales; Bacillaceae. The record is from RNAcentral.
AUUUUGUUUCUUCCUUGAUCGCGUCUAUCAUGCAGUCGAGCGGACAGAAGGGAGCUUGCUCCCGGAUGUUAGCGGCGGACGGGGAGGCCGUGGGUAACCUGCCUGUAAGACUGGGAUAACUCUGGGUAAACCGGAGCUAAUACCGGAUAGUUCCUUGAACCGCAUGGUUCAAGGAUGAAAGACGGUUUCGGCUGUCACUUACAGAUGGACCCGCGGCGCAUUAGCUAGUUGGUGAGGUAACGGCUCACCAAGGCGACGAUGCGUAGCCGACCUGAGAGGGUGAUCGGCCACACUGGGACUGAGACACGGCCCAGACUCCUACGGGAGGCAGCAGUAGGGAAUCUUCCGCAAUGGACGAAAGUCUGACGGAGCAACGCCGCGUGAGUGAUGAAGGUUUUCGGAUCGUAAAGCUCUGUUGUUAGGGAAGAACAAGUGCAAGAGUAACUGCUUGCACCUUGACGGUACCUAACCAGAAAGCCUCGGCUAACUACGUGCCAGCAGCCGCGGUAAUACGUAGGUGGCAAGCGUUGUCCGGAAUUAUUGGGCGUAAAGGGCUCGCAGGCGGUUUCUUAAGUCUGAUGUGAAAGCCCCCGGCUCAACCGGGGAGGGUCAUUGGAAACUGGGAAACUUGAGUGCAGAAGAGGAGAGUGGAAUUCCACGUGUAGCGGUGAAAUGCGUAGAGAUGUGGAGGAACACCAGUGGCGAAGGCGACUCUCUGGUCUGUAACUGACGCUGAGGAGCGAAAGCGUGGGGAGCGAACAGGAUUAGAUACCCUGGUAGUCCACGCCGUAAACGAUGAGUGCUAAGUGUUAAGGGGGUUUUCCGCCCCCUUUAGUGCUGCAGCUAAACGCAUUAAAGCAACUCCCGCCCUGGGGGAGGUACGGUCGCAAGGACUUGAAUACUUCAAAAGGGAAUUUGGACGGGGGACCCCGCACAAGCCGGUGGAGCAAUGUUGGUUUAAUUCGUAAGCAUCGCGGAGAACCCAUUACUCAGGUCCUUGAUCAUCGUCUGGACAAACUCUUAGAGAAUAGGACAUUUUCCUUUUCGGGGGACAAGAGGUGAACCAAAGCAUGGGUGGUA